AUCCAACUGACGAGUACCAAAUAGGACGAAACGCGCGUCCUGGAU
Non-coding RNA from Schistosoma rodhaini, 45 nucleotides. The record is from Rfam. Lineage: Eukaryota; Metazoa; Platyhelminthes; Trematoda; Strigeidida; Schistosomatidae.